CCUACGGGUGACAGCAGUGGGGGAUAUUGCACAAUGGGGGAAACCCUGAUGCAGCGACGCCGCGUGUGGGAAGACGGUCCUCUGGAUUGUAAACCACUGUCCCCAGGGACGAAAAUGACGGUACCUGGGGAGAAAGCUCCGGCUAACUACGUGCCAGCAGCCGCGGUAAUACGUAGGGAGCGAGCGUUGUCCGGAAUUACUGGGUGAAAGGGGAGCGUAGGCGGGGAUGCAGGUUGGAGGUCAAAACUACCGGCUCAACUGGUAGUCGCACUCAAAACUGCAGCUCUUGAGUGAAGUAGAGGCAGGCGGAAUUCCUAGUGUAGCGGUGAAAGGCGUAGAUAUUAGGAGGAACACCAGUGGCGAAGGCGGCCUGCUGGGCUUUUACUGACGCUGAGGCUCGAAAGUGUGGGGAGCAAACAGGAUUAGAUACCCUAGUAGUC
RNAcentral lists this ribosomal RNA (440 nucleotides) under uncultured bacterium. RNAcentral describes it as "partial 16S ribosomal RNA". It matches the Rfam family "Bacterial small subunit ribosomal RNA", at positions 338 to 795 of the family's 1533-position model. The record is from RNAcentral.